Molecule: ribosomal RNA, 250 nt
Filed under: uncultured prokaryote
Description: partial 16S ribosomal RNA
Rfam family: Bacterial small subunit ribosomal RNA
Source: RNAcentral
UACGUAUGGUGCAAGCGUUAUCCGGAUUUACUGGGCGUAAAGGGAGCGCAGGCGGCCUGGCAAGCCAGAAGUGAAAACCCGGGGCUCAACCCCGCGGAUUGCUUUUGGAACUGUUGGGCUAGAGUGUCGGAGGGGUAAGUGGAAUUCCUAGUGUAGCGGUGAAAUGCGUAGAUAUUAGGAGGAACACCAGUGGCGAAGGCGGCUUACUGGACGAUAACUGACGCUGAGGCUCGAAGGCGUGGGGAGCAAA